CGAAGGAUGCAAGCGUUAGUCCGGAUUCAUUGGGUUUAAAGGGAGCGUAGGUGGCCUUAUAAGUCAGUGGUGAAAUCUCUCGGCUUAACCGAGAAAGUUGCCAUUGAUACUGUAGGGCUUGAGUAUAGUUGCCGUUGGCGGAAUAUGACAUGUAGUGGUGAAAUACAUAGAGAUGUCAUAGAACACCGAUUGCGAAGGCAGCUGACGAAACUAUAACUGACACUGAGGCUCGAAAGUGCGGGGAUCAAACAGGAUUACGAUACCCUGGUAGUCCGCACUGUAAACGAUGAUUACUCGCUGCUAGAGGGCAACUUUUAGUGGCUUAGCGAAAGCGAUAAGUAAUCCACCUGGGGAGUACGCCGGCAACGGUG
RNAcentral lists this ribosomal RNA (371 nucleotides) under uncultured organism. Its description in RNAcentral is "bacterial SSU rRNA". It matches the Rfam family "Bacterial small subunit ribosomal RNA", at positions 526 to 896 of the family's 1533-position model. The record is from RNAcentral.